GGGUUGGCUUCUCCUAUUCCAAUACUAGCUCAGAUUAUGCACAAUCAGGCGACAAGAGGACUGCUCAAGAUGCAUAUAGGUUUCUAGUGAAUUGGUUCAAGAGGUUUCCACAUUACAAAAGCAGGGAUUUUUACAUCAUGGGAGAAAGUUAUGCAGGAUUCUAUGUGCCAGAGCUAGCAGACAUCAUUGUCAAGAGCAACAUGCUAGCAACCACAAACUCCAAGAUCCAAUUCAAAGGAAUCAUGAUAGGAAAUGGUAUAAUGAACGAUGUCACAGAUGAGAAAGGGCAAUUAGAUUAUUUAUGGAGUCAUGCACUAAUCUCUGAUGAGACUCAUUUAGGCAUCCAACAACAUUGCAAAACCCAAACUGAUGAGACAAAAAUAUGUGAACAAUUUCAAAGCACAGCUCAAACUGAGUUUGGAAACAUAGAUCCUUACAACAUCUAUGGUCCAAUUUGUC
This 459-nucleotide unclassified non-coding RNA is filed under the name Hevea brasiliensis (rubber tree). The record is from RNAcentral. Lineage: Eukaryota; Viridiplantae; Streptophyta; Magnoliopsida; Malpighiales; Euphorbiaceae.